GACGAACGCUGGCGGCGUGCUUAACACAUGCAAGUCGAACGGAAAGGCCCUGCUUUUGUGGGGUGCUCGAGUGGCGAACGGGUGAGUAACACGUGAGUAACCUGCCCUUGACUUUGGGAUAACUUCAGGAAACUGGGGCUAAUACCGGAUAGGAGCUCCUGCUGCAGGGUGGGGGUUGGAAAGUUUCGGCGGUUGGGGAUGGACUCGCGGCUUAUCAGCUUGUUGGUGGGGUAGUGGCUUACCAAGGCUUUGACGGGUAGCCGGCCUGAGAGGGUGACCGGCCACAUUGGGACUGAGAUACGGCCCAGACUCCUACGGGAGGCAGCAGUGGGGAAUAUUGCACAAUGGGCGGGAGCCUGAUGCAGCAACGCCGCGUGCGGGAUGACGGCCUUCGGGUUGUAAACCGCUUUCGCCUGUGACGAAGCGUGAGUGACGGUAAUGGGUAAAGAAGCACCGGCUAACUACGUG
Molecule: ribosomal RNA, 468 nt
Filed under: uncultured bacterium
Lineage: Bacteria
Description: partial 16S ribosomal RNA
Rfam family: Bacterial small subunit ribosomal RNA
Source: RNAcentral